GCAAGGCUCUUCUAAGUCAAUAUGGACUGCAGAGAAGGCAAGAGGGGAUAAAUUCCCAAAGAAGAGGAGCGAGGUAGGAAGAGAUGACUGGGGGCCAGGGAACUGGAGAACAUUCCAGAUCAUCCCCUCCUCAGGCUUGAGGCACUGGUGACCCACUGAGGCAAAACAUACCUGAAUUUCAACCUAGAAGUUCAAGGUGAUCAUUGUAUGUAAACAACAGGCUCAAACAUCCUCCAAGGUGAUUGUGUCUAUUUGGGACGUGGAGAUUUUCAUGUCACGUGUGAAAUGAGGAUACUGUUUGGGUAUUAAACUGAUGUCUUUUUCAUUCAUCAUACCCUCUGACUUCCUGCCCACUAUCUUAUUGCUUCAGGGUAGGGUAGGGUAGCUACCAGC
This 393-nucleotide long non-coding RNA is filed under the name Equus caballus (horse). Its description in RNAcentral is "lncRNA (ENSECAG00000056105.1)". Lineage: Eukaryota; Metazoa; Chordata; Mammalia; Perissodactyla; Equidae. The record is from RNAcentral.